RNAcentral lists this ribosomal RNA (385 nucleotides) under Yersinia ruckeri. RNAcentral's name for it is "bacterial SSU rRNA". It matches the Rfam family "Bacterial small subunit ribosomal RNA", at positions 63 to 452 of the family's 1533-position model. The record is from RNAcentral. Lineage: Bacteria; Pseudomonadati; Pseudomonadota; Gammaproteobacteria; Enterobacterales; Yersiniaceae.
UCAGCGGAAAGUAGCUUGCUACUUUGCCGGCGAGCGGCGGACGGGUGAGUAAUGUCUGGGGAUCUGCCUGAUGGAGGGGGAUAACUACUGGAAACGGUAGCUAAUACCGCAUAACCUCGCAAGAGCAAAGUGGGGGACCUUCGGGCCUCACGCCAUCGGAUGAACCCAGAUGGGAUUAGCUAGUAGGUGGGGUAAUGGCUCACCUAGGCGACGAUCCCUAGCUGGUCUGAGAGGAUGACCAGCCACACUGGAACUGAGACACGGUCCAGACUCCUACGGGAGGCAGCAGUGGGGAAUAUUGCACAAUGGGCGCAAGCCUGAUGCAGCCAUGCCGCGUGUGUGAAGAAGCCUCGGGUGUAAAAGCACCUCAUCCAAAAACCCCCAA